AAAGUUAAAGUUAAAGUCUAAAGUUAAAGUUAAAUCUAAAUCUAAAGUUAAGGAUAAAAGUAAACGCUUUCCUUCUCAAAAUCUUACUUUGUAAACAUUUUUUGGAAACUUUUAAAAGGAAAAUUCAAAUAAAUUGAUA
Caenorhabditis elegans is the source of this 139-nucleotide non-coding RNA. NCBI's taxonomy places the organism in Eukaryota, Metazoa, Nematoda, Chromadorea, Rhabditida, Rhabditidae. The record is from Ensembl.